CAAUAGCGUAUAUUAAUGUUGUUGCAGUUAAAAAGUUCGUAGUUGGAUUUCUGGUGGGAGCGGCCGGUCCGCCGUAAGGUGUGUACUUGGUUGUCUCCUGUCAUCCUUGUGGGAACUGCUCUGGCAUUAAGUUGUCGGGGUUAGGGAACACAUCGUUUACUGUGAAAAAAUUAGAGUGUUUAAAGCAGGCUUAUGCCGUUGAAUACAUUAGCAUGGAAUAAUAAGAUAGGACUUUGGCGUCUAUUUUGUUGGUUUGCACACCAAGGUAAUGAUUAAUAGGGAUAGUUGGGGGUAUUCGUAUUUAAUUGUCAGAGGUGAAAUUCUUGGAUUUAUGAAAGACGAACUUCUGCGAAAGCAUUUACCAAAGAUGUUUUCAUUAA
RNAcentral lists this ribosomal RNA (380 nucleotides) under uncultured eukaryote. Its description in RNAcentral is "partial 18S ribosomal RNA". It matches the Rfam family "Eukaryotic small subunit ribosomal RNA", at positions 592 to 976 of the family's 1831-position model. The record is from RNAcentral.